This 468-nucleotide ribosomal RNA is filed under the name uncultured bacterium. RNAcentral's name for it is "partial 16S ribosomal RNA". It matches the Rfam family "Bacterial small subunit ribosomal RNA", at positions 28 to 507 of the family's 1533-position model. The record is from RNAcentral.
GACGAACGCUGGCGGCGUGCUUAACACAUGCAAGUCGAACGGAAAGACCCUGCUUUUGUGGGGUGCUCGAGUGGCGAACGGGUGAGUAACACGUGAGUAACCUGCCCUUGACUUUGGGAUAACUUCAGGAAACUGGGGCUAAUACCGGAUAGGAGCUCCUGCUGCAUGGUGGGGGUUGGAAAGUUUCGGCGGUUGGGGAUGGACUCGCGGCUUAUCAGCUUGUUGGUGGGGUAGUGGCUUACCAAGGCUUUGACGGGUAGCCGGCCUGAGAGGGUGACCGGCCACAUUGGGACUGAGAUACGGCCCAGACUCCUACGGGAGGCAGCAGUGGGGAAUAUUGCAUAAUGGGCGGAAGCCUGAUGCAGCAACGCCGCGUGCGGGAUGACGGCCUUCGGGUUGUAAACCGCUUUCGCCUGUGACGAAGCGUGAGUGACGGUAAUGGGUAAAGAAACACCGGCUAACUACGUG